Neopelma chrysocephalum (saffron-crested tyrant-manakin) is the source of this 4411-nucleotide RNA transcript. It is a transcript of the gene named tubulin epsilon 1, with no coding region annotated. The transcript is spliced from 15 exons. Lineage: Eukaryota; Metazoa; Chordata; Aves; Passeriformes; Pipridae. The record is from RefSeq and is a predicted model, not a curated record.
GGGCGCGGCUUCCGGGCGCCCACUUCGAAACGGCAGAGCGUCGCCGGCCCCGCCAUGACGCAGUCGGUGGUGGUGCAGGUGGGACAGUGCGGGAACCAGGUGGGCUGCCGGUUCUGGGACCUGGCGCUGCGGGAACACGCCACCGUCAACAAGAAAGGAAUUUAUGAUGAAGCCUUAAGCAGCUUCUUUAGGAACGUAGAUACAAGAAGUGGUGGUGACGGUCCUGGUAUUUACAAAGGAAAAAUCUGCUCUUUAAAAGCACGAGUAAGGCAAUCUAUAAAGGCACUGUUGAUUGACAUGGAGGAGGGUGUGGUAAAUGAAAUUCUGCAGGGACCAUUGAGGGAUAUGUUUGAUAGCAAGCAGCUUAUCACAGAUGUUUCUGGUUCAGGAAACAACUGGGCUGUAGGUCAUAAGCUAUAUGGCUAUCAGUACCGGGAAAACAUUGUGGAAAAGCUGAGGAAAACCGCGGAACAUUGUGACUGUCUGCAGUGUUUCUUUAUAAUUCAUUCCAUGGGAGGUGGGACAGGAUCUGGUCUUGGAACUUUUGUACUAAAUUUGCUUGAGGACGAAUUCCCAGAAGUGUAUAGAUUUGUUACUUCAGUUUAUCCCUCUGGUGAAGAUGAUGUUGUUACUUCUCCAUAUAACAGUGUUUUGGCUAUGAAGGAGCUUAAUGAACAUGCAGACUGUGUGUUACCAGUAGAGAAUGAAUCUCUGUUUGAUAUAGUUAAUAAAAUUAAUCAGAUGAUCAAUUCUGGGAAGCUGGGGUCAACCUUGAAGCAAAACAGCUUGGUAACAUCAAGUGCAGGCAGUGUAAAAACUCUCCAAGAGAAGCCAUUUGAUGCAAUGAAUAAUAUCGUAGCCAACUUGCUGCUGAACCUGACAAGCUCUGCUAGAUUUGAAGGUUCCCUAAACAUGGAUCUUAAUGAAAUCAGUAUGAAUUUGGUUCCAUUUCCUCGACUUCAUUAUUUGGUUUCAAGCUUGACUCCUCUGUAUACGUUGGCAGAUGUUAAUGUACCUUCUAGAAGGUUGGAUCAGAUGUUUUCAGAUGCAUUUAGUAGAGAUCAUCAACUAAUUCAAGCAGAUCCAAAGCACAGCCUCUACCUUGCCUGUGCACUUCUUGUUCGAGGAAAUGUGCAGGUUUCAGACCUUUGCCGAAAUAUUGAAAGGUUAAAACCUUCUCUGCACUUUGUUUCCUGGAAUCAAGAGGGCUGGAAAACUGGUUUGUGUUCAGUACCUCCUGUGGGCCAUUCCCAUUCACUUCUGGCUUUAGCAAACAACACCUGCGUAAAACCAACUUUCAUUGAACUCAAGGAGAGAUUUAUGAAGCUCUACAAGAAAAAGGCUCACCUUCACCAUUAUCUGCAAAUAGAUGGGAUGGAGCAAAGCUGUUUUUCUGAAGCUAUGUCCUCAUUGUCUGAUCUAAUAGAAGAGUACAAUGAACUGGAUGUGACAAAAGGUGGGCCUAGAACAGACCCAUCAAGACUGAAGAUAGCUGUUUAAAGAAGGAAAAACUGCUCUUUAUUUUUUUGUUUAAAAAGAAUGAAACACUUCCGUAAGCAUCCAGCCACUUCAGUUAACCAGAAUGACUUGCAGCAUGCCUGACUGUUGUAAUUUCAAAGUGGGACCAGGAUAAUGGCUUUCUCAGCUCAAGAGUUGUCAUAUUAAGUGAUAAGCCCUGCCUGUAAGAAAGAUUUGACAGCACCUAAUUAUAGCUGAUAUCAGUAAGAGCAGUAAUCCUAACUGUGGAGUAAAUUGACACACCAUAUGCUGUGAAGAGAAGGAAAAGAGGUUUUAGCAGCCAAAAAUGUAAUUCUUUUCUCAGACUUUACAGUAAACUAAAGGACUUUGAGUUCCGAAAACAUAUCUCCUGGAGCUCUGCAAAUCCUCUGACAUACGCACGAUGUUAUCCACAUCAUCUUCCACUUGAAGAAGCCUUCAUUGGGACACUCAAACUGUACAGUGAUCAUUUUGGACUUAUUAGGUCCUGGAGCAGGGUGUCCAGGGAGUUGCCUGUACAAGGCACUUUUUCUUCAAGACUAGCGGUAAGCUUCUGUAAGCUAAGACAGCAAUAUAUUAUUUGUGCAGCAGAACAGACCCAAAAGGAUGAAUUGAAAAUACAAGGAUAAGACUUUGAUUUCUGUUCCUGAAGGUACUUCUGGAGAUAAACGUAGAAAUGAGACAUAAAUAACAUUAUUCAAAAGCCAGCUGAGCUGCUGUUAAACUUUACCGACACUGGAUACUCAGAUCCUAAUGACUGGUUCCAUAAUUAAGUGGAGGCACACACAGCACUUGGCCACUAUACAACGUAAGGCCUGGGAGCCCCUCUCAUCAAGCAGCUCUGACUGCCCAAAGAGCAAAAGGGCAAGACAAGAUCCAGCCCCUCAUCAGGUACCAGUAUCACCAUCAAGCUUGCAGAAAAAAAAUAAAAUAUGUAGCCUAUAUUUUUUUUCUGGGCAUGUGAAGCCCAACCUAUCAGUUUUUCUCUGUUCCUCCAAACCGCAGGGCUCUACUGAUAUAGAAAUCACCUCCAGCAGAGAUACUGAGGGAAAGCUCAGGAAGGGGUCAUUCAGCUGGGUUUCCUUUCUGCUCAACUUUCAAACUGCAAAUCUCUGCAGAAUUCAGCAUUUCAUAUGUCAUAGCCCAUGGAAGCUCUCACACUAUAAUUUACUGCAUGCAGCAGUAAAUGACCUUUUAAAAGCCUUUUUUCUAGCACUAAUUUCCAUUUUUCGUGGUCAUUUACAACUAUACUUAAGAUAUCUUAAUCCACAGCUACUAAUGAAGCUCCAAAGUAGUAGCUUUCAAGUUCCUUUGGCUGAAUGAUUUUUAAGAUAGAUAUUAAUUUACACAGGCAAUUCUUAUAGGAAAUGAAAAUUGAAGAAUGUCGUGUGGCAUUCCAUGCAGCAUGAAGAAGAUAGUUUAAUAAAUGUGUAAUUUUGCAAAAGGAUUUCUUCUAAUCCUUUCUACCUAAAUGCAGCAAUGAUAUAGAAGCAACUAACUUAAGUGUACUUUUUUUUAGGCAGCUAAGCAUUUCCUAUAAACCAUAAUGUUAAUUUGAUGAACAUGUGCAUUGAAAUGUAAAGCUUCUUGAAGGAUCAUUAUGGAAACAAGACACACAGGUGUACCUAUACAUUUAGCAGUAUUCAAGACUGUAUGGUCAGUUUAGGAAACACUUCCUUGCUGGUUUUUUUCUUUUUAAGCAGAGUAUUAUUAUUAUUAUUAUUAUAAUCUGGCCAUGUGCCAGCUAUAUGAGGUUAUGUGGCUUGAGUCAGACACCACAUUUCAAAAUGGGUAUGUGUAGCAGGAAGUAAUCUUACGUGCUUCAGCCAAUAUGUUUAAUUUGUAUUACAAAUUAAAGAAUGCUUUAAACCUACAGAAUUCUACCUAAGUGAUUUUUCUCUCUUCUUUUAGGAGAAGAUGUCAACUGAAAGGUGUGAGACUACAAAGUUCCCCAGUAAGAAAAAACACCAUCAGGCAAAUAUCUGACAGUUUUAGCAGUGGAAUUACCGAAAACUUUGGUUUAGCUGAAAAAUCUUGAAUAUUAAGUUACAAUGAAAAUGUAAAGUUUGCUUGUCAAGUUUACAGGUCAAAUAUUUUUCCAAUUUGUGCUUCCCCGAGUUUCUAUACCAAAGCUAUUCACAUCACAGAAGCCCCUUGCAUACUUUUCCUGAUCUUAUGGGCAGAUCAGAAAAUGAGACCAUUGUGUAGGUACCCUUCAUGUGUUGUUUGUUUUCUUAUGUGUUAAAGAUUGAACAAGGUCAGUAUGGCAUAAAUAAGCAAAGAGCAGAAGUAGGCAAUGUAUUAUCGCUAAUGUUCAGUUUUCUUAGUCUGGCUCUAAAUAUGCAGAAAGUUAGCGGAGGGAGACAAUCAUUUGAAAAUUCUCCAUUUGACACUCAUCUUGAUCAUAAAGGACAAAUUUUCAAAAUUGAGUAAAUAAAUAAUGAAACUGGCCUUUGACGCAAAUACCUUUACAAAAAGCUAUCACUUAAAAUUUUCUUAUAAGAGACAAAGCAUAACACAGCCCAGGUGCCUUUCUCUUUGUAAAACUAGCCUGAAGUCAGACCGCUGUGUGUAUGUAUACAUAUUUGCACACACAUAUAUACAUAGAUAUAUGAAAUAUGAGCAUAAGGAAUACUUCCUUAUGCAUCAGAUAAUCAUUUGUGCUUAAAUUUAAAAAAAAAAAAAAAAGGCAAGGUCACUGGCAAUUUAAGCUUCCCUAACACUUUUUUUCCCACUAAAUCAUAUUAAUGUACAGAGAGAAAAAAACCACCAAAAUCAGGACUGAUGCAGUAAAUAAGCUGCAAAUGAAAUUUACUCAGGAAUAGGGAAUGGCUGCUUAUUCUUUAUGAGGAAUUUGCUUCUCUGAAAUUUAAUUUGUUGUUAAGCAAAUAAAAACUUUUAACCAGAACAAGGU